CACACCGGUCCGGAGUCAGUGGGUUAUCGAUCCCAUCAGGAAUUCUUCCUCGGGAAUAUCCCAUUGACACAACCUUGAUCGUUGU
RNAcentral lists this small RNA (85 nucleotides) under Ancylostoma duodenale. Its description in RNAcentral is "Nematode sRNA ceN72-3_ceN74-2". It matches the Rfam family "Nematode sRNA ceN72-3_ceN74-2". The record is from Rfam by way of RNAcentral. Lineage: Eukaryota; Metazoa; Nematoda; Chromadorea; Rhabditida; Ancylostomatidae.